This 1380-nucleotide ribosomal RNA is filed under the name Triticum aestivum (bread wheat). RNAcentral's name for it is "partial small subunit ribosomal RNA". Lineage: Eukaryota; Viridiplantae; Streptophyta; Magnoliopsida; Poales; Poaceae. The record is from RNAcentral.
AUGACCUGUUUCGUUUACCUGGGAAACGACCUGCAUGACAUCGCCCUGGGCAGCACCGUUGUUGUUCCUGUUCGCCGACGGCGGCGGGGUGGAUCCGAAGCCAACGUACUUGCCGCCCUGAGAGGGAGGGAUCCCCUGAGGCUUGGACUCGUUCUCCGCCAUUCUCCUAGCGAAAAAAUCCUCCUUGCUGGCCGCCGACGCCUCAAGCUCCUGCUUGGUGUAUAUGUCCUGAGUGGACUUGGACCUCGUCGGCUGUCUCCCCGAAUCCGCUCCAGCGCCAGCAAACGAUCCGGCCGAUUGGUUCCUACGCAUAUCCGGACGGACCUCGUCGUCCCAAUCGUCCCAUCCACCGCCACCGCCACCGCCUCCGCCCCCUACUCCGGCGGGCAAGGGCGGCCUCCUGGCGGGGGCGGGGGCGCCAGAUCCGGGCGUCUCCUUAACGACGGGCGGGUCGGUCCACGCGCGGCCCUCGGCGAGGGCGACGAUGCGGUCGCGGUAGGCGGCGGCGGCGUUGGAGUUGUACUUGGGGAUGUGGGGCGUGUCCUUGGGCACGCCCCGCGCGGUGAGGAAGGCGUUGAGGCGGUCGUUGCCCCCGGCCUCCAUCUUGCGGAGCUGCGGCUCGGUCCAGGAGUCCAUGGUGACGGAGCGGACGAAGCUGAUGUGCACGCCGAGGCCCCGGUGCUUGCCGGAGCACUCGAGGCACAUGAAGACGCCGUAGGAGACGCUGGCCCACUGCGGGUUCCUCUGCGCGCAGUCGACGCACGUCUUGUUCCCGGGCUGCCCCUGCAGCUCCCUGAGCCGCCUCGCCGCCGUGGACGCCAUCGCCGGGAUCCGGAUCUGCCGCGCCGGAUCCGGGAUCGGGGCCGGUUGGUGGCCGCGGGAGGGCGAGGAGGGGGAAAGGAGGUGGUGGUGGUGGUGGAGGGCUCGCCGACACGGAACGGGGAGCGAGCGAGCGAGCGAGGGGGGAGGUCAAAUACCGUGCGGUGGACGCUUGUGCCCCUGGGCGCGCCGGGGCCGCGCCGAUGGCAGGCUGGUAAUUUCUCCCCGCGGCGGGAGGGCAGGGCGGGGACUCCUCACGGUAGGCGUGGCCGAACGGCCGAACCGAACUGCCCGCGACGCCGACAGCCCGGGCCCACAGCGCAGCAGCAGCGGGACGGACGGGCGAGGAAACUGGGAAAGGGAGCGAGGGGUCAGGACUCAGGAGGAGUCCUACUCGUAGCCGAGUCGGGUCGGGUAGGGCUCGGGUGUGUGGGUGGGCGCUGCACGCGAUACAGCCGGGUGGCCAUCGGGUGGUCUGGGGUCGGGACGGGCCGAAACGCACGCGGGGCCGUCGCUCGGCAAACAAAAACCGACCCCUCCUCUCGCCUCGCGGUUUUUUGA